This 468-nucleotide ribosomal RNA is filed under the name uncultured bacterium. RNAcentral's name for it is "partial 16S ribosomal RNA". It matches the Rfam family "Bacterial small subunit ribosomal RNA", at positions 28 to 507 of the family's 1533-position model. The record is from RNAcentral.
GACGAACGCUGGCGGCGCGCUUAACACAUGCAAGUCGAACGGAAAGGCCCUGCUUUUGUGGGGUGCUCGAGUGGCGAAAGGGCGAGUAACACGUGAGUAACCUGCCCUUGACUUUGGGAUAACUUCAUGAAACUGGGGCUAAUACCGGAUAGGAGCUCCUGCUGCAUGGUGGGGGUGGGAAAGUUUCGGCGGUUGGGGAUGGACUCGCGGCUUAUCAGCUUGUUGGUGGGGUAGUGGCUUACCAAGGCUUGGACGGGUAGCCGGCCUGAGAGGGUGACCGGCCACAUUGGGACUGAGGUACGGCCCAGACUGCUACGGGAGGCAGCAGUGGGGAAUAUUGAACAAUGGGCGGAAGCCUGAUGCAGGAACGCCGCGUGCGGGAUGACGGCCUUCGGGUUGUAAACCGCUUUCGCCUGUGCCGAAGCGUGAGUGACGGUAAUGGGUAGAGAAGCACCGGCUAACUACGUG